This 1469-nucleotide long non-coding RNA is filed under the name Nicotiana tabacum (common tobacco). RNAcentral describes it as "long non-coding RNA (NTAB_LNC005293)". Lineage: Eukaryota; Viridiplantae; Streptophyta; Magnoliopsida; Solanales; Solanaceae. The record is from RNAcentral.
AUACAAUAAGCAUUUCUGAGAAAAACUUGUUUUCAUAGUGAAUGACUAUUAUAUAGAGAUGUUGUUAUAGGGAAGUGUCUGACGGUAUAUAUAAGAAUAUAAAGAUUUUUUAUAUUAUUAAUGUAGAUUUAACUUAUUAGUAACUAUUAUUUUUAUUAAGUUAGCGAUUAAUAUUUAUUAUAAGGACUCACCUAUGAUUACCAUAUGCAAAUAAAAGCCUUUGUGAAGUCAAUAGAGUUCAUGGACUAUUUACAUGUAAAACAUGUUUGUGGAGUCACUGGAGUUCAUCAACUUAUUUGUAUGGUGUUGCACUGAAAAGUGGGUUGGUAUGUAUGGUGUUACUUGUUACUUAUAUGGUGUUGUAUUGAUUUUGUUUUUGCUGUGAGCUUUUUCAUGAAUGUCUGAGUGGCAACAAUUUAUUGAGGAUUGAUAUAAUCGACCUCAACUUGUUUGGAAUUAGGGCUUAGUCUAUUAUUAAUGGCGAGCUCUGUACUAAAGAGUUUUCUCGUGUAUUUACUAUGUAGUAUAUGAAAAUUGCUGCAAUUAGUGAUUUCAUCUGCUGAUACUUCAAGAAAAUAAAGAUAUGCUAUAGCUUCCUCCCCAUUGCAAUGGUUCUAUUUUUUCAUGUUUAGCGAUCGAAGAAACUUUCACAAUUGCUGUGAUAAGAGCUUUUGAUAUGUUACCCGCAAGUGCAUCAUUUCUGGAUGAAUACCUACCAAGCUAAAUGCAUAAAAGCUAUCAAACUUUAGUAAAAAUAAAAUAUUUCCUUAUAGCUUUACUGCUUGAUGUUUCAGAUGUGCCUUGUGUACAUAUACACUAUUGUUUAGAUUUUCAUUAAGUACAUAUAAACUAUUGUCUAGAUGUUCAACUUGAAACAAAAUUUGUAGUUCUUGGUUGAGGAUUAUCCUUCUAGGUUUUCAUAAAUGAUACGACGGUUAUAUAACACAGUUUUUCUAAUUCAUUUUUGUUUAUAUUUAUGCAGCCUCGUUUACAUUGCUAUUUUAUUUUUGAAGUGUAUAUAUAUUACACUUGAUGAAUUUGGACACCUUUUCAGGUAAAAGGUCAAAUUAUUAAUAGAGUAAAAUUGAAAAAAAAAUAUUCAAUAUAAUUUUCUAGUGAUCUUUAUAAUUUCUUAUUAAAGGAAUUUUUGUUGAAUAUUUUUUACAGGUUAUCAAGAUGCGGGUUUUGAAGACAUAUAAUCAGUAGACCUUUGCUUUGCUAGGAAUAUUGGACAAAAUAUCAUAUUAAUUUUAGGGAUGUUAGCUAGAGGUACUUUUGCUAAAGGAGUGUCCAAAAAAUAUUUCACCAUGAUUGUACAAUGCUACUAAUUUUUUGUCAGUAAUUAUUAUAUAUGAAACCAUAUCUUUUUUUCAUUAUAUUAUUUUUUGUGAUUAAAUUUUCUAUUUGUAGAAUCAAUAUAUCUGAUUUGAAAAUUUAUGAAAAAUUAGAAUUUUGGACCACCCAUGCUU